Molecule: ribosomal RNA, 406 nt
Filed under: uncultured bacterium
Lineage: Bacteria
Description: partial 16S ribosomal RNA
Rfam family: Bacterial small subunit ribosomal RNA
Source: RNAcentral
AUUGAACGCUGGCGGCAGGCCUAACACAUGCAAGUCGAACGAGUGGCGGACGGGUGAGUAAUGUCUGGGAACCUGCCUGAUGGAGGGGGAUAACUACUGGAAACGGUAGCUAAUACCGCAUACCAUCAGAUGUGCCCAGAUGGGAUUAGCUAGUUGGUGGGGUAACGGCGCACCAAGGCGACGAUCCCUAGCUGGGCUGAGAGGAUGACCAGCCACACUGGAACUGAGACACGUUCCAGACUCCUACGGUAGGGAGCAGUGGGGAUGAUUGCACAAGGGGCGCAAGCCUGAUGCAGCCAUGCCGCGUGUAUGAAGAAGGCCUUCGGGUUGUAAAGUACUUUCAGCGGGGAGGCGUUACCCGCAGAAGAAGCACCGGCUAACUCCGUGCCAGCAGCCGCGGUAAUUC